CUUGGUCAUUUAGAGGAAGUAAAAGUCGUAACAAGGUUUCCGUAGGUGAACCUGCGGAAGGAUCAUUAAAGUUUGCUUAAUUGCAUUACACAUGUUUUUUAGAGAACUUGCUUGCAAGAACACUAAUAAUUUACUUAGUCAACAAAUAAAAAUAUCAAAACUUUCAACAACGGAUCUCUUGGUUCUCGCAUCGAUGAAGAACGCAGCGAAAUGCGAUACGUAAUAUGAAUUGCAGAUUUUCGUGAAUCAUCGAAUCUUUGAACGCACAUUGCGCCCGCCAGUAUUCUGGCGGGCAUGCCUGUUCGAGCGUCAUUUCAACCCUCAAGCCCAGCUUGGUGUUGGGACUCGCGAGUCAAAUCGCGUUCCCCAAAUUGAUUGGCGGUCACGUCGAGCUUCCAUAGCGUAGUAGUAAAACCCUCGUUACUGGUAAUCGUCGCGGCCACGCCGUUAAACCCCAACUUCUGAAUGUUGACCUCGGAUCAGGUGGGAAUACCCGCUGAACUUAAGCAUAUCAAUAAGCGGAGGAAAAGAAACCAACAGGGAUUGCCCUAGUAACGGCGAGUGAAGCGGCAACAGCUCAAAUUUGAAAUCUGGCUCUCGGGCCCGAGUUGUAAUUUGUAGAGGAUACUUUUGAUGCGGUGCCUUCCGAGUUCCCUGGAACGGGACGCCAUAGAGGGUGAGAGCCCCGUCUGGUUGGAUGCCAAAUCUCUGUAAAGUUCCUUCGACGAGUCGAGUUGUUUGGGAAU
RNAcentral lists this small RNA (746 nucleotides) under uncultured Fusarium. RNAcentral describes it as "eukaryotic LSU rRNA". The stretch from base 470 to 746 matches the Rfam family "Eukaryotic large subunit ribosomal RNA", at positions 1 to 281 of the family's 3401-position model. The record is from RNAcentral. Lineage: Eukaryota; Fungi; Ascomycota; Sordariomycetes; Hypocreales; Nectriaceae.